RNAcentral lists this ribosomal RNA (109 nucleotides) under Notechis scutatus (mainland tiger snake). Lineage: Eukaryota; Metazoa; Chordata; Lepidosauria; Squamata; Elapidae. The record is from RNAcentral.
AGUAGAUAGCAGCAUUUGUAAAACCUUUUCUGGAUUUAGAAGCUAAGUGGCUUGGGUUUGAUUAGUACUAGGAUGGGAGACCACCAGUGAAUACUCACCCUAUCUGCUA